Molecule: ribosomal RNA, 254 nt
Filed under: uncultured bacterium
Lineage: Bacteria
Description: partial 16S ribosomal RNA
Rfam family: Bacterial small subunit ribosomal RNA
Source: RNAcentral
UACGUAGGGUGCGAGCGUUGUCCGGAAUUAUUGGGCGUAAAGAGCUCGUAGGCGGUGUGUCACGUCGGCCGUGAAAACCUGGGGCUUAACUCUGGGCGUGCGGUCGAUACGGGCAUCACUAGAGUUCGGCAGGGGAGACUGGAAUUCCUGGUGUAGCGGUGAAAUGCGCAGAUAUCAGGAGGAACACCGGUGGCGAAGGCGGGUCUCUGGGCCGAUAUUGACGCUGAGGAGCGAAAGCGUGGGGAGCAAACGGG